Molecule: non-coding RNA, 84 nt
Organism: Aspergillus alliaceus
Lineage: Eukaryota; Fungi; Ascomycota; Eurotiomycetes; Eurotiales; Aspergillaceae
Source: the annotation of a RefSeq genome assembly
GCCCCCGUAGCGCAAUGGUAGCGCGUAAGACUUCUAGCUUUACAAGCGAUCUUAAGGUUGCGAGUUCGAGCCUCGCCGGGGGCU